Molecule: long non-coding RNA, 2449 nt
Organism: Numida meleagris (helmeted guineafowl)
Lineage: Eukaryota; Metazoa; Chordata; Aves; Galliformes; Numididae
Source: Ensembl
UAUAGAGAGCCUUUCUCUCCUACAUGCCAUUUGCUGCCUGCAGUUGGGUGUCUGUGAACAUGCCAGGGUUGCCCUGCAUUCUGUUGUCCAGAUCCUUAACAAAGGUGCUGGCAGUCUUAAUGAGUGUUAGCCCCUGAGGGAUGCUGUGGGGACUGGCUGCUGAUGGGACUUCACACCACCAGCCCUUGGAGCCUGGAGGGAUACUGGAGUUGUUAAGAAAUAAGGUCAAGAGAGAUUACUGUUUUUUAAAUUGUUCUUCACUCAUCUUUGAAGUAGUCUCAAGUCAUCAUGACAGGAAAUCAACUGAGUUCAGAGAGCAGAAAAAGUGGAGGAGAAGCAGUCAAGGAAUAACUUGAUCAGAUUUCACUAUGGUAAUUUCACAAAUGAUGCUUCACAAUUCUUCUAUUGUCCUGAGAAUAGCACUAAUGUGCUCUAUAGUUCCCAUAGUGAGCAGGGAAAAAUGUAUUAAUCACAAUACAGUGGCUCAUGGGUUAAAAUGACUCGUAGGUUAGAAAAAAAAAAAAAAACCAUAGACUCCGUGAUACUCAGUGAAAAACAAUGUUCUGAAAUACUUAAGACGGUAUUAAAAUAACAUAUUACUUUUAAUCAAGUAAGAGUUAGAGUCCUGAGCAGAAUCAAAUCUUUUUUGUGUAAAGCUCUGAUGAGAGGCUCACAUAGAGAAAGGACAUUGUUCCAGUAAAACACAUGCAGGCAGGUGUAGUUAAGGUUUUGACACACCAGAUAUGGUAUUUUGAAUUUGGGAAUACGUCAGCUACUCAGAAACCUCUGCAGUAAGCAAGAGACCAUAAGUGUAACAGCCUAUGACUGCUGGAAAGAAUUCAUCUGCAUUCUUGUGCUCUCUCAUAUGGGACUGGUGACCAUGCUAAACCUCAAGCCAUUCCAGCUCUCUCCCAAUUACGAUGCUGCUACCUACAUAGAUACACAGAUGCCACCUCUUUGGUUGUCACCUGGCUUUUGAGUUCUAAAGAUUCCUAUCUUCAAUCUCCUCUGCAAUUCUGGUGUGACAAACUUGUUUCAAAAAGAGAAACUAAUGUUUUUAUUGUGUUAACAAUUCUACUUUGGAAGGCUGUGCUACCAUUCAACAAGACCUGGACAGCCUGCAUUAAAAAGAGCGUGGCCAGCUGGUCAAGGGAGGUAAUCCUCCCUGUCUGAUCUGCCCUGGUGAGGCUACGUUUAGAAUGCUGUGACCAGUUCUGGUUCCCCUGUUCAAAAAAGACAGGAAUCUCCUAAAAGGAAUCCAGCGGAGGGCCACAAAGAUGAUUAACUGCCCGGAGCAUCUCCUGUAUGAGGAAAGGCUGAGUAACCUGGGACUGUUCAGACUGGGGAAAAGAAGACUCAGAGGGGAUCUGAUAAAUGUUUAUAAAUAGCUAAAGCGAGGUGAGAAGCAAAUGGAUGAGGCCAGGCUCUUCUCAGAGGUGUGUAGUGAUAGGGCGAGGAGUAAUGGCCUAAAACUUGAACAUUUUGUACUAACAUGUGGAAGAACUUUAUGGUAAUGAUGACAGAGCACUGGAACAUGUUGCCCAGAGAUGUGGACUCUCCUUCUGUGGAGAUAUUGAAGACCCACCUGGAUGCCUACCUGCGUGAUCUGCUGUAUGGAACCUGCUUUAGCAGGGAGUUGGACUCAGUGAUCUCUUGAGGUCCCUUCCAACCCCUGCAAUUCUGUGAUUCUGCGUGGUUCUGUGAUUCUGGCAUCUGAGAAAAAGCCAAAACCAAGAUUUCUCAUGAAACUGAGAACUAGGAAUGCAAACAUGAAAAUAGAAAGGCUUUCCUGUGUACCAUACUUGACAUAACAGCAGAUACAAAUAACAUUUGCUUGGAUGAUUAAGUCUCUGAGUUGCAACUGAACUGACUUCAACUACCACUCUCCGAAAAACAUCUUAGCUCAAGUUUAAACUGACAGUACAAAUUUCUGCUCUCCAAUUUGAGACAGAACAGAUUUUAAUAUCUUUCUAAUACAAUGUAACAAAUAUUUUUGUCCUUAUAGAAAGCUAUUUAUAUGGUGUUUUAAUAUAAACGCUUGUAGUUUCAAUUUAGUUUCAUUUAAAAGUUUUUUUUAAGCUUUCACUUAAAAAAAAAAAAAACAAAACAAAACAACACAAGAAAUCACAGACAGGGAGGAAACUGCUUCUAUAAAUCCCUGAAAAACUGUGGGACUACUGCCAUCUUCUGGGAUGUGAAACAAAGGCAUGUCAAUACUACACUAGGAAAUACUUCCACUUAAAAAAGCAAAAAAGGUUUUGGUUUUUAGAUACAGCCUAAGCAAAUUAUUUUGAGGACUUAUUUGACUCCUUGAAACUAGAUUACCAUCAUUUUACAAGCACGGUAACAUUGUAUUGCUAUAAUUUCAGCUGUGAGGAAGACAGUUACAAGUAUUUGUUGCAUUCGACUUCUGAGAAGUUUCUCAGAAUAAAUGCAUUCGACUUGUGCA